RNAcentral lists this long non-coding RNA (11276 nucleotides) under Nicotiana benthamiana. Its description in RNAcentral is "long non-coding RNA (NBEN_LNC014421)". The record is from RNAcentral. Lineage: Eukaryota; Viridiplantae; Streptophyta; Magnoliopsida; Solanales; Solanaceae.
CCAAAGCAUUCCAUGCAUAUUAUUGGUGGAAGUUCAAAGGUUAUGGUCAAACACGACAGUCAUGAGCUAUAACUUUUAAUCACCAAGACUAGUGGAUAACCGGCAAAAGGGCGAAUUGACCUCGCAAUUUUAAACCCGAUAGCCAAGAAAACACAAGAACAUCUAGAAUUGUAGUUAAGUGUCUGAAUCCUAUCCAAAUGACUAUCACGAUCCAAUCUCCAUACCCGAUCGUGCUGGCGCCUCUCAUGAAGACAUGGCCAGCCAACUAAUCCAAUUCGUUUCUUUAACACUUACUAAACAUAAAUAGAUGGGAAAAUACAACUUAAAGAACACUAAUUAUCAAUAUUAUGGCCUAACUCAGCUCGACCGGAAUAUCACAAAUCACGAGCAUCUAGGAGGGUCUUUAUUACAAUUUUAAAGUUUAUAAGAAAUAAAGUAAAAUCUAGAAAUCAAGAAGAAGAAUCUCGGUGCCGCAAACGCCGACGGUCACCCUGCUUAGCUACGAUAGCAAUACCUUCAAUCCGCUACUAACCUGCUACCGGGUGAACAGUACAUGCAACUGCACAUGAGGUACAUUGAGUAAAGUGAGUACUUCCAACUUAGUGCUAAUAAGAGCGAAUAAUAUCUGAGCGAUAAGAAAAUAAGUAUGAGCACUCCAAAAUGCUAUAACAGACAGUACAACCCCUUUUUUAAAAAAAUGGUAAAAACUGUAACACCGAGAAAAUCCUUUAGAAAAUCUCAAGCUCAGUUAAAAAUUCUCUUUUGCAAAUACGCCUUUUCAACAGUUGCGAAAGAAAUUUCAACAAGUAGGGAAUAAUUAGAAAUCUGCCUCUCGGGCUCAAUAUCAACCUCUCAUUACAGUAUCAGCUCCGCGGGCUCACUCCCAACUCACAAAGUACAACAUCAGCCUCUCGGGCUCAGCACUCUUUAACAUGUAACACCAUGGUAUCCGGGAAAUAAGGCAAGUAAUAGCAUGUAUGCCAAUGAUAUGAGAGAGCCAAAAAUCAUGCCAUGUAGUACAAACAGGAAUGAAUGCAUGAAUGCAAUGCACAUAACUGCUGCGACGCGCAGUUCAAUCCAUUUGGGCACCCUUCGCUCACUAGGGGUGUGUACAGACUCCGGAGGGGAUCCUACAGCCCAAGCGCUAUAAUACUGCGGCGUGCAGUCUGAUCCAUAUAAUAUACUACUGCGGCGUGCAAUCCGAUCCAUAUAAUAUACUACUGCGGCGUGCAAUCUGAUCCAUGCAUGUAUAUGUAUAUACUGCUGCGGCAUGCAGCCCGACCCAUGUCUCAAUCCAGAAAUGCAUACAUAACAUUGCUGUGGUGCGCAGCCCAAUCGAUGCUCAGUCCAACAAUGCACAUAAACCCCUUGGGCAAUAGUAAAAUAGCAGUUCUCAGCUCAAUACGUCAGUAAAAUAUCAUUUAAGUUUUCAAAUCUUAGGAAAAUGGUGAGUUUGCGAAAUAGUAGUUAGAACCUUGGACUGAGAUCAAAUAAUAUGCAACGUAAUAUAAAAUAGUGAUAUCAAUCCCUGAAGGAUUCAAAUAAUUGGAACGAAUCCCAAAACAUGGCGAUCACCCCAAAUCAUGAUAACAUCAAGUAGUUUUCAGUCAAUCACGCAGUAAAAUCAACAACCGGGACGGACCAAGUCACAAUCCCCAACGGUGCUCUACCACACGCUUAUACCUGACGUGCAAGACACCACUAUACAGUACUAUGAUAUGCAAAUCUGGGGUUUCAAACCAUCAGGAUAUCAUUCACAAGUAUUACUCACCUAGAACCGGCGAAAUCUCAAGUAUGUGAUGCCUUUGCCCCCUCAAAUCGGCCUCCACGCGCGUCGCGUCUAGCCAAAAACAGAACGAAUACAUCACAAUAUGUAAAUGGGACAAUACCCAAUCAAAAACUAUCGAAUUAUAGCAAGAACCUCAAAACUAGCAAAACCCGAGCCCCGGGACCGCUUCUCAAAAAAUUAUAAAACUUACAUUAUUGGAUUCCUCGUCUCGCCACGAGUCCGUGCAUACUAAGAACACCCAAAUCCGAGCUCAAGUGACCUAUCAAAUUCCAAUUUGAAAUAUAAAAAACUCAAGACCUAGUUCUUCAAUUUUAGGCCUAAUUUCUUGAAUUUCUAGGUAGAUUCCACAAUAAAUACGAAGUUUAAGUUCAAAAGUUCAAUAGAUUUUCCUUGAAUCGCUCUUCAAUUCGCUCUCCCAAGCUCCAAAAUCGCUCAACAAUAGAGGAAAAUAACAUUGGAUCGCGGAUGAAAUAUUAUUAAAAACCCUUCUACCCAGGUGCUUUACUCUAUACGAUCGCAUAAGUCCAUUGCGAUCGCAUAGUACCAAAAAUCAAUCUCUCAGAAUUACCCUAUGCGAAUGCAACAAAUCCUACGCGAACGCAGUGACAUCCCAAAAUACUCUAUGCGAUCGCACACACUCUCACGCGAUCGCAUGGGACAAUUUCUACCAAAAUUUCUGGUCAAAAUUUACACUGUGUGAUCGCAUGACAAACAUUGCUAUCGUACAUAACAACCAAUCACCCCUCAUAAUUCCUUCUAUGCGAUCACAUGACACUCUCUGCGAUUGCAUAGAGCAAAUAUGGUCUGCAAUUUUUCUGCUGUAAUUAUGAAACUCCAAACCUCCCGAUAGCCUUCUGAAAUCACCCCGAGCCCCCGGGACCUCAACCAAAAGCACAAAUAUGUUCUAUUACCUUAUUCAAACUUGCUCGAAUCAUAAAAACACUAUCAUUUACAUCAAAAUCUCCAAAUAUCAUCAAAUCAAGGCCUAAAUUUUCUUUAAACUUCCGAAACUCACAUUCGAUCAAAAACCUAACCAAACGACGUCCGAAUGACCUAAAAGUUUUCAGCAUAUCCAAAAUCACCUAACGAAGCUACUGAAACUCUCGAAAUUCAAUUCUGACCCUCGGACCAAAAUCUCGCCUAUCAACCAGGAUUCGCCAAAAUUCAAACUUUGCCAAUUCAAGCCCAAUUCUACAUCAAGCUUCCAAAAACAAUUCCAAUCACACUCCUAAGUCACAAACCAUCCCCCGAAGCUAACCAAACCACCGGAAUUUACAUCCGAGCCCUCUAACCACAUAGUCAACUUCCAGUUGACUUUUCCAAAAUAAGCUCCCUUCUAAGAGACUAUGUGCCUCAUUUCCAACUAAAACCAAAUCAAUUCUAUCUGAUCAACUCAAAUACUGAUAUUGAAACAUAGAGCAACAUAAUAUGGGGGAAACGGGGGCGGUAACUCACGUGACAACGGGCUGGGUCAUCACAUCCUCCCCAACUAAAACAAACGCUUGUCCUCGAGCGUGCCUAGAGUUGUCCUAGAAGCCAACCAAGAACUGAACAUCCUUACCAAGCAUAUACCCAGGGUGAUCCCACGUCACCCUAUCUCUUAUAGGUCCAACAACACAACAUGGCUGAAAUUACCUAAUCCAUUCUAAAUCAACUCAAAUACUGAUAUUGAAACAAGAACAACAUAAUAUGGGGGAAACGGGGCGGUAACUCACGUGAUAACAGGCCAGGUCGUCAUAUCAUCCCCAACAUAAACAAACGCUCGUCCUCAAUCGUAUUCAGAGUUGUCUUAGAAGCCAACCAAUAGCUGAAUGACCUUACCAAGCAUACACAGGGUGAUCCCACUUCACCCUAUCUCGCAUAGGUCCGACAACAUAAUAUAGCUGAAAUUUCCCCAAUCCAGUCUAGCCUAUAAUUCACAAAACUAUUUUUUUCACUUCUGAAACCAUCGAUACGAUCAAACCUCGCACUUAUUCUUUGAAUAGUCCCGAACCAGCUAUAAUAACCCAUACAUGCAUCCACAAAUGAAACCACAUGAUAUACCACAUAAUGCAGCACCCGAAACGAUAACUUCUAUUCACAACAGCUCUCCACAACAACCAUAUACCGAUAGAAACCUCUCAAUAGCUAAAUCCCCAUUCCAACACUUCGUAUCCUAUCAAUGAUAAUGAACCCACAGCAAACCGUAACCAUUUCUCAGAUCAACCACUCAUGAAGACACUCCCUUUUUGACUAAUACCACAACCUAUUUCCGAGAUCAUACUCAAAAUCAGAACCUCACGUCAAUAUUCAGAAUAAACUCGUACCUCGAUAUUAUCCUUCCAACAAGCUGAAAUCAAAUCUGAUUAUGUCCAUUAAUGACUCCAACGAUCACCCCGAAUUCAACGCACCACUCUGGUGAUAUGACACCUCAUCACAGGCCUAAGCCAUAACUUGCAUAAUCCACGCACCAAAUGAUGGGUGGUCCAAACAUACUCAAAUCAUGAAAACGACUCAAUGAAAGAGUACAACAUAAAACUAAGACCCCGUCUCACAUCAUAAAAAUAGAGUACCUGAAUCCUCCUCGAAAGGUCAUAACUUCACGUGGCCUUGCCAUAACGCGCGAUCCUAUCCAACACUGUUACACAUGAAGCGCCUCAAGUCACCAUGCUCAAAAUAGACGGCGACGCAGAGUUUGAUGUCUAAAACCAAGCAAUCCAUCACACCUGCCACAAUGCACGAUCCUAUCCAACACUGUUACACAUGAAGCACCUCAAGUCACCAUGCUCAAAAUAAACAGCCGCGCACAGAUUGAUAUCUGAAACCAAGCAAUCCAUCACACCCACGGUGAAGCAAGUAGUAGACACUAUUCAAUCCUGAAAGGACACAACUGAUGCGCUGUUCGCCGAGCUACACCCAAUACAGACUUUCCUCAGAAACCAGGAAGCAAGGCAUACAAGGUAACAUAUAGGAAACUAUUCAACAUCACACUGUUGCGGCGUGUUACCCGAUCCAGAUAACAUACACGUGGCGGCGUGCCACCCGACCCACACAUAUAUCUCACAAAAGGAGAUGUACAUCGAGCCAAAUUUUCUCAUUAUAAUAAACACAUAUAGUCUCAUGCCCGACCACAAGAAACACAUACGAAAAAAAAGUCCCUCAAUACCGGAACUGAAUCAAUGGUAGAAACCUCUACACUGACAUCCGCCACGAAGGCCCAAUUAAUAAAGCAAUCUUGCCAGCCGUCCACUGGUCUUUGGAAUACAAACUACCCUGCUAGAACAUAAUCCGAUGCACCUCAGCACGCAACCUGUGGCAUUUUUCGGCAUAGCUCACAGCACCAAAAUCUAGAAUAACCCAACACUGAGAAACCAGUCUACAAUCCAAUAUCAUAACCAAAAAUCUAACAUCCAAUCAAGGAAAAAUUCCACUCGGACCUCCAAUUCCCAUUAACCGCUAAACGGUGUCGAUACACACCAUCUACAACCACUGCAUAGUCGGAUCACAAGAACUCCUAGUCUCCAACUUUAAUAUAACACAUGAAUCACUAUACCUGAUUCCACACUCCGCUGUACAAGUACAUAUCACACAUCAAGUAUCCAUUCAUCCCACGAUAGAUAUUCAAAACUUUCCCUGAGCCAUCAACACUCAAUUAUCAACAGUUGAUCCAACAAGAAAAUACCGCAAUUCCACCAAAGUAUUUUCAGUUUACAUUACCUUGCCCCUUUUUUCUGAACAUAUACUCCCGUAAUCACUAGAAUAGCAGUACCAUUUUCCUUAAUCAUUAGAAGAUCGAUUCUUAAAUCACCUGAAGCUGGCCAUGAUGCUUAAGAAUUUAAUGCCUUUCCAUUCCAAACUGAAUCGAUCCUUACACACACAAAUCUCAAUCAUGCACAACAUAUCGCAUCUACCAUACCACAUUCGGAUAACAUAAGAAUUUUUAUCUUCCUUUCGCAUCGCGGACAUCCCGAACAUCGACGCACUAAACUAGUCAUUAACUUUUAUUGAUCCCUUUUAGAAGAAAAAUCAUUACACACUCCAUGCUUCACAUACCCACCGAAACAUACUCAUCUUCAAACCACGGUAAAACCCAACAAGAACAUUUAUGCCAACUCUAUUUGUACAAGCUAAACUGCCAUGACUGGAUCCUUCUAUCUAACCCAAGAUGUGCAAGCCGUCAAAACCCAAGAGCAUUGCUGCAAAAUGCCUGAAAAGCUCAUUACCUCAAACACAUACAAAGAAUUAAUCAUACCCUUACCAUACCGAUUCGGUUUAUUAUCAAGCUAUUCCAUUUAUCCAAUUUCCUUCCUGAUUCAUCUUUAAUUUGAUAUUAUCCCUUGAUGUAGCACCACAAUACCUCAACCCAGGUUUACCACACGAGACUCGCACAUAAGACCACACUGUUUAAGACUCAUAGGGCACUGAAUACCCUCUCAAACGUUUCCCAAAAAUACCACAUUCCAGAAUGUUUUACUUUGAAGAACUUCCUGAGAACAUGAAUUUGUUACCAUUACAUUCCAAAUACGGAUACAUAGAAUCCCAUAAUUAACAUAAAAUACCACAAGUCUUGAUCUUUUCUAGUGAAAACACAGUCUCUGGCCACAUACACAACCUUAAGACACCUGAUUAUUACAUGAAAAAUAUCGAGCACAAUAAAACCAUUCUCGAGAGUCAUUCACUCUUAUACAGUUGAUCAACAGCAACCUCCCCGACUUGGCUCGAAGCCAUAUAUCAAGGCACUCUUAACAACUCGUCUAUCAAUUAGCAGACUCCUUCGUCACUACCAAGAUCACAUAGAUGCAUCUCACAGCACUAACAUACUUAUCACAUGGAUAUCCAACCGUCAUUCCGGCUAAUAGGGACAAUAUCGAACAUAUAAGUUCAGAACACUUGCUCAUACAAUCAGCACCUCGGUGCGCAAGCCAUAGGCAAAGAUCCGGCCUCAAGUCCUCCAGACUGGCUCACGGGGAUCACAUCUCACCCCUUGAUCAGGGAACCACAAGCCCUCAAGGCACAUACAAUACUGAGCUCUCACGUACGCAUACAUACGUAUGGAAGAAAUUUCAAGAGUUAUCUCAAACUAGACCAAGUACGCACGAUAAGAAUUCCAAGAAAGUGAGGUUUUCCUAAAGGUUCUGCAGCCUCUCGAGGAUAAAUACAGACGUCUCUGUACCAAUCCGCGAGACUCUACUAAACCUGCUCAUGACUCGUGAGACCUAGUAACCUAGGCUCUUAUACCAACUUUUCACGACCCAAUCUCCAUACCCGGUCGUGGUGGUGUCUUUCGUGAAGACAAGGCCAGCCAACUAACCCAAUUCAUUUCUUUUACACUUACUAAACAUAAAUAGAUGGGAAAAUGGAACUUAAAGAACAUUAAUUAUCAAUAUUAUAGCCUAACUCAGCCCGAUCGGGGUGUCACAAGUCACGAGCAUCUAGUAGGGUCUUUAUUACAAUUUUUAAAUUCUAUAAUACAUAGAGUAAAAUCUAAAAAUCAAGAAGAAGAAGAAACUCGGUGCCACGAAUGUCGGCGGUCACCCUGUUUAGCUACGAUAGCAAUACCUACAAUUUUAAAGUUUAUACUCCAUUUGUUUCAUAUUGUUUGAGGUACUUUCCUUUUUAGUCUGUUCCAAAAUAAAUGAAACAUUUCUAAAUUUGGAAAUAAUUCUACUUUGAACUCUUUAUUUUACCCUUUUUGCCCUUAGUGAGAAGCUUUUAUAGCCACACAAUGAUAUGGCCCCACAAACCUUUUGCCCCUUAAUCUUUUAAAAAUACAAGUCUUAAAAGUAUUCUUCUUUUUUCUUAAACUUCGUGCCGAGUCAAACUACCUCAAAUAAUAUGAAACGGAGGAAGUAAUAAAUAGAGUAAAAUAUGAAAAUCAAGAAGAAGAAUAUCGGUGUUGCGAACGCUGGUGGUCACUCUGCUUAGCUACGAUAGCAAUACCUUCAAUCUGCUACUAACCCGCUACCGGGUGAACAGUACCUGCAACUGCACGCGAGAUGCAGGGAGUAAAGUGAGUACUUCCAACUCAGUGGUAAUAAGAGCGAAUAAUAUCUGAGCGAUAAGAAAACACACAUGAGCACUCCAAAAUGCUAUAACAGACAGUACAACCCCUUUUUUUAAAAAAAAUAGUAAAAAUCAUAACACCGAGAAAAUCUCAAGCAUAGUAAAAAAUUUUCUUUUGCAAAUACGCCUUUUUAAUAGUUGCGAAAGAAAUUUCAUCAAGUAGGGAAUAAUUAGAAAUUUGCUCCUCGGGCUCAAUAUCAACCUCUCAGUACAGUAUUAGCCCGCGAGCUCACUCCCAACUCACAAAGUACUACAUCAGCCUCUCGGGCUUAGCACUCCAUAACAUGUAACACUAGGGUAUCUGGGAAACAAGGCAAGUAAUAGCAUGUAUUCCAAUGAUAUGUGAGUUCUAAAAAUCAUGCCACGUAGUACAAACAGAAAUGAAUGCAUGAACGCAAUGCAAUGUACACGACCACUACGGCGCGCAGCCCGAUCCAUUUGGGUACCCUGCGCUCACUAGGGGUAUGUACAGACUCUGGAGGGGAUCCUACAGCCCAUGCGUUAUAAUAUUGCGGUGUGCAGUCCGAUCCAUAUAAUAUACUACUGCGGCGUGCAGUCCGAUCCAUAUAAUACACUACUACGGUGUGCAGUCCGAUCCACAUAACAUACUACUGCCGCGUGCAGCCUGACCCAUAUCUCAAUCCAGAAAUGCACACAUAACCUGAUGCGGUGUGCAGCCCGAUCCAUGUUCAGUCCAGCAAUGCACAUAAGCCAUUUGGGCAGUAGUAAAAUAGCAGUUCUCAGCUCAAGAUGUCAGUAAAAUAGCAUUUAAGUUUUCAAAUCUUAGAAAAAUGGCUUAGUUUGCAAAAAAGUAUUUAGAAUCUUGGACUGAGAUCAAAUAAUAUGCAACAUAUUACAAAUCAGUGAUAUCAAUCCCUGAAGGAUUCAAACAAUCGGCAUAAAGCCCAAAACAUGGCGAUCAGCCCAAAUCAUGAUAGCAUCAAGUAGUUUCAAUCAAUCACGCAGUAAAAUAAACAACCGAGAUGGACCAAGUCACAAUCCCCAACGGUGCUCUACCCCACGCUCAUACCUGGCGUGCAAGUCACCAUAAUACAGCACUAUGAUGUGCAAAUCUGGGAUUUCAAACCCUUAGAAUAUCAUUCACAAGUAUUACUCACCUCGAACCGGCAAAAUCUCAAGCCUCCGACGCCUUUGCCCCUGAAAUCAGCCUCCAUGCAUGUCGAGUCUAGCGAAAAAUAGAGCGAAUAUAUCAUAAUAUGAAAAUGGGACAAUACCCCAUCGAAAACUAUCAAAUUAUAGCAAGAACCUCGAAACUAGCAAAACUCGAGCCCCGAGCCCGCUUCUCAAAAAAUUAUGAAACUUACAUUAUCAAAUUCCUCGUCUUGCCACUAGUCUGUGCAUACCAAGAACUCCCAAAUCUGAGCUCAAAUGACCUAUUAAAUCCCAAUUUGAAAUAUCAAAAACUCAAGCCCUAGUUCUUCAAUUUUAGGCUUAAUCUCUUGAAUUUCUAGGUAGAUUUCACAAUAAAUACGAGCUUUAAGUUCAAAAAUCUUACCUCCAAUCGAUUCUCCUUGAGUCCCUCUUCAAUUCCCUCUCCCAAGCUCCAAAAUCGCUCAAUAAUGGAGGAAAAUAACAUAGGCUCGCAGAUGAAAUAUUAUUAAAAACACUUCUGCCCAGGUGCUUUACUCUAUUAAAUCGCAUACAGUACAUUGUGAUCGCAUAGCACCAAAAAUCAAUCUCCCAGAAUUACCUUAUGCGAACGCAAAAAAUCCUACGCGAACGUAGAUACAUCCCAAAAUACCCUAUGCGAUCGCACACACUCUCACGGGAUCGCAUAGGAUAAUUUCUACCAAAAUUUCUGGCCAAAAUUUACACUGUGCGAUUGCAUGACAUACAUUGCGAUCGCAUAUAACAACCAAUCACCCCUCAUAAUUCCUUCUAUGCGUUCACAUGACACUCUCUGCGGUCACAUAGAGCAAAUAUGGUCUGCAAUUUUUGUGCUGUAAUUAUGAAACUCCAAACCUCCCGAUAGCCUUCCGAAAUCGCCCCAAGGCCCCCGUGACCUCAACCAAAAGUACAAAUAUGUUCUAUUACCUUAUUAAAACUUGCUCGAAUCAUAAAAACACUAUCAUUAACAUCAAAAUCCUCAAAUAUCAUCAAAUCAAGGCCUAAGUUUUCUUUAAACUUUUGAAACUCACAUUCGAUCAAAAACCCAACCAAACGACGUCCGAAUGACCUGAAAAUUUGCAGACAUAUCCAAAAUCACCUAACAAAACUAUUGAAACUCUUGGAAUUCCAUUCCCACCCUCGAAUCAAAAUCUUGCCUAUUAAUCGGGAUACGCCAAAAUUCAGACUUUGCCAAUUCAAGCCUAAUUCUACAUCGAGCCUCCAAAAAAAAUUCCGAUCACACUCCUAAGUCACAAAUCAUCCCCCGAAGCUAACCAAAUCACCGGAAUUCACAUCCGAGCCCUCUUAUCAUAUAGUCAACUUCCAGUUGACUUUUCAAAAACAAGCUCACUUCAAAGAGACCAUGUGCCUCAUUUCCGACUAAAACCAAAUCAAUUAUAUCUUAUCAACUCAAAUACUGAUAUUGAAACAUAGAACAACAUAAUAUAGGGGAAACGGGGCAGUAACUCAUUGACAACAUGCCGGGUCAUAGAAAUGACACCAAAUUUUGCAUACAAUUUUCACAUAGAAAAACGAACCUAUUCCAAGUUCCAAAACCAAAUUUUAAACCUGAUAUCCCCAAAGUCAAUCUAUAGUUUAACUUAGGAAAACUUCUAAACCUCAAAUUGCCAACUUUCGGCAAAACAAGUCGAAUCAACCUAGGGAUCUUCAAAUUUCAUUCGAGGUAUACGCCCAAGUCCAAAAUCGUGAUACGAACAUAUUGGAUCCAUCAAAAUACCGUUCCAGGCUCAAUUUCACAAAAGUCAAACUUUGGUUAAUAUGUCCAAUUUAAGCUUCUAAACCAAGAACAAAAGGGUCCAAAUCAAUUAAAACCUUUCCGGAACGAAACUAACCAACCACCAAGUCAUAAAAUCACAAAUACACAUGUGUGAAGCAUCAAAAGGGGAAACGAGCUCAAAUACACAAAAUGAUCGGUCAGAUCAUUACAUUACUUGUUUGGAGACAUGAUGAACAUGAUAGCAAUUCAGGAAUUCAAACCUGGAACAUGUGCUCUAAUACCAAAUUGACGUAUUUUCAAGGUUUUUGUCCUCUCAAGCACAAAUAAUAGAGAAAAUCAAAACUACAUCUCUAAGUUUUUCACAACUAGCGAAAGCAUUUGUCAAAUUCAAGUGAGAAGAAGAAUCUUACCCACCUGUUCCUCAAUGCCGCGAGAUUUCAAGAAGCAGUGAAUACAGAAAGAAGAGCCAUCCAAAAGAGAAAUCAUGUUUUUGAAGCAAGAGUUAAAAAGCCUAAUCACCAAUAUCUAUUUUCAGCAUAUUUAGCCAUUUAAAUAGGUCUUACAAUGAGUAAAAUUGAU